GAAAUGCGAUAAGUAAUGUGAAUUGCAGAAUUCAGUGAAUCAUCGAAUCUUUGAACGCACCUUGCGCUCCUUGGUAUUCCGAGGAGCAUGCCUGUUUGAGUGUCAUUAAAUUCUCAACUAUUAUCAGCUUUUGUUGAUGAUGGCUUGGAUAUGGGGGUUUAUUUUGCUGGCUUCACAGAAUGUCAGCUCCCCUUAAAUGCAUUAGCCGGUGCCCCGCGUGGACUGUCUAUUGGUGUGAUAAUUAUCUACGCCGUGGACAUCUACAAUCAUAUGGGUUUGCGCUGCUUCCAACCGUCUGUUUACUCAGACAAUACAUGACAAUUUGACCUCAAAUCAGGUAGGACUACCCGCUGAACUUAA
Molecule: unclassified non-coding RNA, 360 nt
Filed under: uncultured Hebeloma
Lineage: Eukaryota; Fungi; Basidiomycota; Agaricomycetes; Agaricales; Cortinariaceae
Description: sequence contains ITS1
Rfam family: 5.8S ribosomal RNA (bases 1-105)
Source: RNAcentral